GACGAACGCUGGCGGCGUGCCUAAUACAUGCAAGUAGAACGCUGAAGCUUGGUGCUUGCACCGAGCGGAUGAGUUGCGAACGGGUGAGUAACGCGUAGGUAACCUGCCUGGUAGCGGGGGAUAACUAUUGGAAACGAUAGCUAAUACCGCAUAAGAGUAGAUGUUGCAUGACAUUUGCUUAAAAGGUGCAAUUGCAUCACUACCAGAUGGACCUGCGUUGUAUUAGCUAGUUGGUGAGGUAACGGCUCACCAAGGUAACGAUACAUAGCCGACCUGAGAGGGUGAUCGGCCACACUGGGACUGAGACACGGCCCAGACUCCUACGGGAGGCAGCAGUAGGGAAUCUUCGGCAAUGGACGGAAGUCUGACCGAGCAACGCCACGUGAGUGAAGAAGGUUUUCGGAUCGUAAAGCUCUGUUGUAAGAGAAGAACGAGUGUGAGAGUGGAAAGUUCACACUGUGACGGUAUCUUACCAGAAAGGGACGGCUAACUACGUGCCAGCAGCCGCGGUAAUACGUAGGUCCCGAGCGUUGUCCGGAUUUAUUGGGCGUAAAGCGAGCGCAGGCGGUUAGAUAAGUCUGAAGUUAAAGGCUGUGGCUUAACCAUAGUACGCUUUGGAAACUGUUUAACUUGAGUGCAAGAGGGGAGAGUGGAAUUCCAUGUGUAGCGGUGAAAUGCGUAGAUAUAUGGAGGAACACCGGUGGCGAAAGCGGCUCUCUGGCUUGUAACUGACGCUGAGGCUCGAAAGCGUGGGGAGCAAACAGG
Molecule: ribosomal RNA, 765 nt
Filed under: uncultured Streptococcus sp.
Lineage: Bacteria; Bacillati; Bacillota; Bacilli; Lactobacillales; Streptococcaceae
Description: bacterial SSU rRNA
Rfam family: Bacterial small subunit ribosomal RNA
Source: RNAcentral